RNAcentral lists this transfer-messenger RNA (401 nucleotides) under Algoriphagus halophilus. Its description in RNAcentral is "Standard tmRNA". It matches the Rfam family "transfer-messenger RNA". From Rfam's summary of the family: Bacterial tmRNA, also known as 10Sa RNA or SsrA, is named for its dual tRNA and mRNA-like properties. Its role is to liberate the mRNA from a stalled ribosome. To accomplish this part of the tmRNA is used as a reading frame that ends in a translation stop signal. Lineage: Bacteria; Pseudomonadati; Bacteroidota; Cytophagia; Cytophagales; Cyclobacteriaceae. The record is from RNAcentral.
GGGGCUGACCGGUAUUGACAGUAAGUGUAAAGAUCGGGCUCGCAUGCAGGCUGGAGUAUGUACGGCCUUGAAAGAUUCAUACGAACUAUAAUUGGCGAAAAUUCUUACGCCAUGGCUGCCUAAUCUACCCUCUUAGGAUAGAUCGCUUAAAGGGUUGAGUUACUAGAGUAAUUCCCCAGCCACAUCUCACCGUCCGUUAUCUGGUCCGGACGGAUUUGAGGUGUCGACUUGACCGGGUUGCGGCUUGUGAUGCUAUUAAGCAAGUCUAAGAUCAAUAGCUAAGCCGGAACAAGGUGUGUCAUCCAGCAUAUUUCGGUCGAAAACCUAACAGGUGACUAAGCAUGUAGACGGUACGGUGUUUCCUUAUCUGGACGCGAGUUCGAAUCUCGCCAGCUCCACAU